CCUACGGGAGGCAGCAGUGGGGAAUAUUGGACAAUGGGGGGAACCCUGAUCCAGCCAUGCCGCGUGUGUGAAGAAGGCCCUCGGGUUGUAAAGCACUUUCAGUGAGGAAGAACGCCUGGUGGUUAAUACCCAUCAGGAAAGACAUCACUCACAGAAGAAGCACCGGCUAACUCCGUGCCAGCAGCCGCGGUAAUACGGAGGGUGCGAGCGUUAAUCGGAAUUACUGGGCGUAAAGCGCGCGUAGGUGGCUUGAUAAGCCGGUUGUGAAAGCCCCGGGCUCAACCUGGGAACGGCAUCCGGAACGGUGAAGCUAGAGUGCAGGAGAGGAAGGUAGAAUUCCCGGUGGAGCGGUGAAAUGCGUAGAGAUCGGGAGGAAUACCAGUGGCGAAGGCGGCCUUCUGGACUGACACUGACACUGGGGUGCGAAAGCGUGGGUAGCAAACAGGAUUAGAGACCCGGGUAGUC
Molecule: ribosomal RNA, 465 nt
Filed under: Vreelandella stevensii
Lineage: Bacteria; Pseudomonadati; Pseudomonadota; Gammaproteobacteria; Oceanospirillales; Halomonadaceae
Description: partial 16S ribosomal RNA
Rfam family: Bacterial small subunit ribosomal RNA
Source: RNAcentral